This 253-nucleotide ribosomal RNA is filed under the name uncultured bacterium. RNAcentral's name for it is "partial 16S ribosomal RNA". It matches the Rfam family "Bacterial small subunit ribosomal RNA", at positions 524 to 776 of the family's 1533-position model. The record is from RNAcentral.
GACGUAGGGCGCGAGCGUUGUCCGGAUUUAUUGGGCGUAAAGAGCUCGUAGGCGGCUUGUUGCGUCGACCGUGAAAACCCGCGGCUUAACCGUGGGCUUGCGGUCGAUACGGGCGGGCUGGAGUUCGGUAGGGGAGACUGGAAUUCCAGGUGUAGCGGUGAAAUGCGUAGAUAUCUGGAGGAAUACCGGUGGCGAAGGCGGCAUCCUGGACCGACAUUGACGCUGAGGAGCGAAAGCGUGGGGAGCGAACAGG